AAUAGUCAAACAAAUUAGCAAUGGGGCCACCAAGAGAGUACAUUCCACCCUGAUUCAGACAUAUCUCAGUUUAUCAGUUUUCUGUCAAUCAUUAAAAUAAGAAAGAUGAAACAUGCAAUUACAUACAAGGAGACAGAAUUCCUAAUUCUUUCAUCCUAGCUGAAGCAGAAGAGUUUUAAUUGCUUGGAAAAAUAAGAUUUUUGUUUU
Molecule: non-coding RNA, 207 nt
Organism: Microcebus murinus (gray mouse lemur)
Lineage: Eukaryota; Metazoa; Chordata; Mammalia; Primates; Cheirogaleidae
Source: Rfam